This 465-nucleotide ribosomal RNA is filed under the name uncultured bacterium. Its description in RNAcentral is "partial 16S ribosomal RNA". It matches the Rfam family "Bacterial small subunit ribosomal RNA", at positions 338 to 795 of the family's 1533-position model. The record is from RNAcentral.
CCUACGGGAGGCUGCAGUGGGGAAUAUUGCGCAAUGGGCGAAAGCCUGACGCAGCGACGCCGCGUGAGGGAUGAAGGUCUUCGGAUCGUAAACCUCUGUCAGCAGGGAAGAAAGGCCACUGUGCUAAUCAGCAGUGAAUUGACGGUACCUGCAAAGGAAGCACCGGCUAACUCCGUGCCAGCAGCCGCGGUAAUACGGAGGGUGCGAGCGUUAAUCGGAGUUACUGGGCGUAAAGCGCACGUAGGCGGUGUUGCAAGUCAAGGGUGAAAGGCGAGGGCUCAACGUGGGAAAGGCAUGUGAAACUGGAAAACUGGAGUGGGGGAGAGGAUAGGGGAAUUCCAGGUGUAGGAGUGAAAUGCGUAGAUAUCUGGAGGAAGAGCGGUGGCGAAGGCGGCUAUCUGGCACGUAACUGACGCUGAGGAGCGAAAGCGUGGGUAGCAAACAGGAUUAGAUACCCCAGUAGUC